This 841-nucleotide long non-coding RNA is filed under the name Salmo salar (Atlantic salmon). RNAcentral's name for it is "lncRNA (ENSSSAG00000109361.1, ENSSSAG00000119705.1)". Lineage: Eukaryota; Metazoa; Chordata; Actinopteri; Salmoniformes; Salmonidae. The record is from RNAcentral.
GCCUAGAACAGAGCCCUGGGGGACACCAGUGGUGAGAGCGCAUGGUGCGGAGACAGAUUCUCGCCACGCCACCUGGUAGGAGCGACCUGUCAGGUAGGACGCAAUCCAAGCGUGGGCCGCGCCGGAGAUGCCCAACUCGGAGAGGGUGGAUAGGCCUUUAGGCAAUGACAAAAUGAAGAGUAGGACCCAAUUUACCAAUACAAAUAUCACCCCAAUCACUGGUAGUUGAUUUUAGUUGACUGACAGUGUUGCAUAUGAUCGAUCCAUUAUUAUACAAAUGCAUUCAGUCAUUAAUUGAUCAAUCAAGGCUGUAUAGGAAAAAAUAUAACUAUUUUUAUUUUAGAGACCCUUCAAAACGAAAAGCGUAAACAUGUAUAGUAUUACAAAGUGAACACCACAGCUGUUGUACAUUGAAGACAGGAGGAGAUAAAGAUUGAUGGGUGGUGCUGCCGCCUCCUCCCUGUAUGUUUCUAUGGGCUGCAUUCGGAAAGCGUAGUAGGUCUCUGCUUUUAAUAACUACACACUCCUGAGCUGUUUUCUUUAAGUCUUUUUCAAUAACAAUUUCUGUCUCUUCCCAAAUAUUCUCCUCAAAUAGUUCCCUGUGAUAAGGUCUGACACCCUUGCAAGAUCUACAAAAGAUAUCCCUCCAAGGUACUGCAGUCAGAAUGGAAUUCACAACAAGUAGAACCAGAACGAGUCCUGAGCCGCGAACCUGAAACAAAAUUAGCAAACGUUCAAGCAAACUGAACGCACCCCUGGUCUCCACCCCCCCUAAACCUCUGGUCUCCACCCCCCCUCAAUACUGGUCUACACCCCCCUCAAUACUCUGGUCUUCACCCCC